GUUGAUCCUGCCAGUAUUAUAUGCUGAUGUUAAAGAUUAAGCCAUGCAUGUGUAAGUUUAAAGACCUAGUAGGAUGAAACUGCGGACGGCUCAUUAUAACAGUAAUAGUUUCUUUGGUUAGUAAGUACAAGGAUAACUUUGUGAAUGAUAAAGCUAAUACUUGAGACGAUCUGGGGAGUACUUGUACUUUCCGGCCGGUGGUCGCGAGGCUGCCGAGAAAUGACAUUCUCUUGUGAAAAAGGAUGCCACGACAAUUGAAGAAAGCGACGCUUUUUACAAGUAACCAAUGGGAAUUUCUGAUCUAUCAAUUUGUUGGUAGUAUCGAGGACUACCAAGAUUAUAACGGAUAACGAGGAAUUGGGGUUCGACAUCGGAGAGGGAGCUUUACAGAUGGCUACCACUUCUAAGGAAGGCAGCAGGCGCGUAAAUUACCCACUUUCGACCCGAAGAGGUAGUGACGACAAAUAACUCUUGGCGCCCCUCGGGGUGACUUGAAGGAAUGAUUUAGAAGUAAAUUCUCUAAAGAAAUCAAUUGGAGGGCAAGUCUGGUGCCAGCAGCCGCGGUAAUUCCAGCUCCAAUAGUG
Molecule: ribosomal RNA, 584 nt
Filed under: Entamoeba sp.
Lineage: Eukaryota; Evosea; Mastigamoebida; Endamoebidae
Description: SSU rRNA
Rfam family: Eukaryotic small subunit ribosomal RNA
Source: RNAcentral